UGAGACAGGUGCUGCAUGGCUGUCGUCAGCUCGUGUUGUGAAAUGUUGGGUUAAGUCCCGCAACGAGCGCAACCCUUAUCCUUUGUUGCCAGCACGUCAUGGUGGGAACUCAAAGGAGACUGCCGGUGAUAAACCGGAGGAAGGUGGGGAUGACGUCAAGUCAUCAUGGCCCUUACGAGUAGGGCUACACACGUGCUACAAUGGCGCAUACAAAGAGAAGCGACCUCGCGAGAGCAAGCGGACCUCACAAAGUGCGUCGUAGUCCGGAUCGGAGUCUGCAACUCGACUCCGUGAAGUCGGAAUCGCUAGUAAUCGUGGAUCAGAAUGCCACGGUGAAUACGUUCCCGGGCCUUGUACACACCGCCCGUCACACCAUGGGAGUGGGUUGCAAAAGAAGUAGGUAGCUUAACCUUCGGGAGGGCGCUUACCACUUUGUGAUUCAUGACUGGGGUGAAGUCGUAACAAGGUAACCGUAGGGGAACCUGCGGUUGGAUCACCUCCUUACCUGAA
Molecule: ribosomal RNA, 510 nt
Filed under: Mesorhizobium sp.
Lineage: Bacteria; Pseudomonadati; Pseudomonadota; Alphaproteobacteria; Hyphomicrobiales; Phyllobacteriaceae
Description: bacterial SSU rRNA
Rfam family: Bacterial small subunit ribosomal RNA
Source: RNAcentral